GAUGAACGCUGGCGGCGUGCCUAAUACAUGCAAGUCGAGCGAACGGACGAGAAGCUUGCUUCUCUGAUGUUAGCGGCGGACGGGUGAGUAACACGUGGAUAACCUACCUAUAAGACUGGGAUAACUUCGGGAAACCGGAGCUAAUACCGGAUGAUAUUUUGAACCGCAUGGUUCAAAAGUGAAAGACGGUCUUGCUGUCACUUAUAGAUGGAUCCGCGCUGCAUUAGCUAGUUGGUAAGGUAACGGCUUACCAAGGCAACGAUGCAUAGCCGACCUGAGAGCUGGGGCGGGCACACUGGAGCUGCGCUACGGUCUGGACUACGACGGGAGGCAGCAGUGGGGAAUAGUUGACGAAGGUCUACAGCCUGAAAAAGUCAGGUCGCGGGAGUGAAGAAGGGUUGAGGAUGCUAAACCCCUCUUGGUGGUAAAGAACAAAAGCGCAACGAACCACGCCGUGCCUGACGGCGCCGUAACAGAACGCAACGGCUAACUCCGUG
RNAcentral lists this ribosomal RNA (497 nucleotides) under uncultured bacterium. RNAcentral describes it as "partial 16S ribosomal RNA". It matches the Rfam family "Bacterial small subunit ribosomal RNA", at positions 28 to 507 of the family's 1533-position model. The record is from RNAcentral.